ACUCCUACGGGAGGCAGCAGUGGGGAAUAUUGCACAAUGGGCGCAAGCCUGAUGCAGCAACGCCGCGUGAGGGACGACGGCCUUCGGGUUGUAAACCUCUUUUAGUAGGGAAGAAGCGAAAGUGACGGUACCUGCAGAAAAAGCACCGGCUAACUACGUGCCAGCAGCCGCGGUAAUACGUAGGGUGCAAGCGUUGUCCGGAAUUAUUGGGCGUAAAGAGCUCGUAGGCGGUUUGUCGCGUCUGCUGUGAAAACCCGAGGCUCAACCUCGACCUGCAGUGGGUAGGCAGACUAGAGUGCGGUAGGGGAGAUUGGAAUUCCUGGUGUAGCGGUGGAAUGCGCAGAUAUCAGGAGGAACACCGAUGGCGAAGGCAGAUCUCUGGGCCGUAACUGACGCUGAGGAGCGAAAGCAUGGGGAGCGAACAGGAUUAGAUACCCUGGUAGUCCAUGCCGUAAACGUUGGGAACUAGAUGUAGGGACCAUUCCACGGUUUCGUGUCGCAGCUAACGCAUUAAGUUCCCCGCCUGGGGAGUACGGCCGCAAGGCUAAAACUCAAAGGAAUUGACGGGGGCCCGCACAAGCGGCGGAGCAUGCGGAUUAAUUCGAUGCAACGCGAAGAACCUUACCAAGGCUUGACAUAUACGAGAACGGGCCAGAAAUGGUCAACUCUUUGGACAUCGUAAACAGGUGGUGCAUGGUUGUCGUCAGCUCGUGUCGUGAGAUGUUGGGUUAAGUCCCGCAACGAGCGCAACCCUCGUUCUAUGUUGCCAGCACGUUAUGGUGGGAACUCAUAGGAGACUGCCGGGGUCAACUCGGA
Molecule: ribosomal RNA, 816 nt
Filed under: uncultured Actinomycetes bacterium
Lineage: Bacteria; Bacillati; Actinomycetota; Actinomycetes
Description: bacterial SSU rRNA
Rfam family: Bacterial small subunit ribosomal RNA
Source: RNAcentral